This 513-nucleotide ribosomal RNA is filed under the name Raymunida elegantissima. Its description in RNAcentral is "partial 16S ribosomal RNA". It matches the Rfam family "Bacterial large subunit ribosomal RNA", at positions 1831 to 2597 of the family's 2925-position model. Lineage: Eukaryota; Metazoa; Arthropoda; Malacostraca; Decapoda; Munididae. The record is from RNAcentral.
GUCUGUAUGAAGUUAUAUGGAGUCUAACCUGCCCAUUGAAUAAUUUAAAAGGCCGCGGUAUAUUAACUGUGCAAAGGUAGCAUAAUCAUUAGUUUUUUAAUUGAAGGCUUGUAUGAACGGUUGGACAAAGGAUAAUCUGUUUUUAUUUUUGUUUUUGAACUUAACUUUUAAGUGAAAAGGCUUAAAUAAAUUUAAGGGACGAUAAGACCCUAUAAAUCUUUACAUUAAUUUUUUUUUUUCUAUAAAUUUAUGAAUGUAAAUAAAAGAUAAAAUAAUAAAUGUUAUAUUGGGGUGAUAAGAAUAUAAAUAUAAACUGUUCUAAAUUAUAAUCAAAGUUGUUUGAAAAUAAUAGAUCCUUUUUAGAGAUUAAAAGUUUAAGUUACUUUAGGGAUAACAGCGUUAUUUUUCUUGAGAGUUCUAAUCGAAAGAAAAGUUUGCGACCUCGAUGUUGAAUUAAAAUUUCUUUAUGGUGUAGUAGUUAUAGAAGAGAGUCUGUUCGACUUUUAAAUUUUU